CCCUACGGGGGGCAGCAGUGAGGAAUAUUGGUCAAUGGGAGAGAUCCUGAACCAGCCAAGCCGCGUGAGGGAAGACGGCCCUAUGGGUUGUAAACCUCUUUUGUCGGAGAACAAAACCCGGGACGUGUCCCGGACUGCGUGUAUCCGAAGAAAAAGCAUCGGCUAACUCCGUGCCAGCAGCCGCGGUAAUACGGAGGAUGCGAGCGUUAUCCGGAUUUAUUGGGUUUAAAGGGUGCGCAGGCGGGAGAUCAAGUCAGCGGUAAAAUGUCGGGGCUCAACCCCGGCCGGCCGUUGAAACUGGUUUU
RNAcentral lists this ribosomal RNA (305 nucleotides) under uncultured bacterium. Its description in RNAcentral is "bacterial SSU rRNA". It matches the Rfam family "Bacterial small subunit ribosomal RNA", at positions 337 to 640 of the family's 1533-position model. The record is from RNAcentral.